RNAcentral lists this ribosomal RNA (497 nucleotides) under uncultured bacterium. Its description in RNAcentral is "partial 16S ribosomal RNA". It matches the Rfam family "Bacterial small subunit ribosomal RNA", at positions 28 to 507 of the family's 1533-position model. The record is from RNAcentral.
GACGAACGCUGGCGGCGUGCCUAAUACAUGCAAGUUGAGCGCUGAAGGUUGGUACUUGUACCGACUGGAUGAGCAGCGAACGGGUGAGUAACGCGUGGGGAAUCUGCCUUUGAGCGGGGGACAACAUUUGGAAACGAAUGCUAAUACCGCAUAAAAACUUUAAACACAAGUUUUAAGUUUGAAAGAUGCAAUUGCAUCACUCAAAGAUGAUCCCGCGUUGUAUUAGCUAGUUGGUGAGGUAAAGGCUCACCAAGGCGAUGAUACAUAGCCGACCUGAGAGGGUGAUCGGCCACAUUGGGACUGAGACAAGGCCCAAACUCCUACGGGAGGCAGCAGUAGGGAAUCUUCGGCAAUGGACGAAAGUCUGACCGAGCAACGCCGCGUGAGUGAAGAAGGUUUUCGGAUCGUAAAACUCUGUUGGUAGAGAAGAACGUUGGUGAGAGUGGAAAGCUCAUCAAGUGACGGUAACUACCCAGAAAGGGACGGCUAACUACGUG